CCUACGGGGGGCUGCAGUGGGGAAUAUUGGACAAUGGGGGAACCCUGAUCCAGCCAUGCCGCGUGUGUGAAGAAGGCCCUCGGGUUGUAAAGCACUUUCAGUGAGGAAGAACGCCUGGUGGUUAAUACCCAUCAGGAAAGACAUCACUCACAGAAGAAGCACCGGCUAACUCCGUGCCAGCAGCCGCCGUAAUACGGAGGGUGCGAGCGUUAAUCGGAAUUACUGGGCGUAAAGCGCGCGUAGGUGGCUUGAUAAGCCGGUUGUGAAAGCCCCGGGCUCAACCUGGGAACGGCAUCCGGAACUGUCAAGCUAGAGUGCAGGAGAGGAAGGUAGAAUUCCCGGUGUAGCGGUGAAAUGCGUAGAGAUCGGGAGGAAUACCAGUGGCGAAGGCGGCCUUCUGGACUGACACUGACACUGAGGUGCGAAAGCGUGGGUAGCAAACAGGAUUAGAUACCCGGGUAGUC
RNAcentral lists this ribosomal RNA (464 nucleotides) under Vreelandella stevensii. Its description in RNAcentral is "partial 16S ribosomal RNA". It matches the Rfam family "Bacterial small subunit ribosomal RNA", at positions 338 to 795 of the family's 1533-position model. Lineage: Bacteria; Pseudomonadati; Pseudomonadota; Gammaproteobacteria; Oceanospirillales; Halomonadaceae. The record is from RNAcentral.